ACUCCUACGGGAGGCAGCAGUGAGGAAUAUUGCACAAUGGAGGAAACUCUGAUGCAGCAACGCCGCGUGGAGGAUGACGCAUUUCGGUGUGUAAACUCCUUUUAUAUGUCAAGAAAAUGACGGUAGCAUAUGAAUAAGCACCGGCUAACUCCGUGCCAGCAGCCGCGGUAAUACGGAGGGUGCAAGCGUUAUUCGGAAUCACUGGGCGUAAAGGACACGUAGGCGGGAAGCCAAGUCUGAUGUGAAAUCCUACAGCUUAACUGUAGAACUGCAUUGGAAACUGGUUACCUAGAGUAUGGGAGGGGGAGAUGGAAUUAGUGGUGUAGGGGUAAAAUCCGUAGAUAUCACUAGGAAUACCUAAAGCGAAGGCGAUCUCCUGGAACAUUACUGACGCUAAGGUGUGAAAGCGUGGGGAGCAAACGGGAUUAGAUACCCCGAUAGUCCACGCCCUAAACGAUGUUCACUAGUCGUCGGGAUGCUAGUCAUCUCGGUGAUGCACUUAACAGAUUAAGUGAACCGCCUGGGGAGUACGGUCGCAAGAUUAAAACUCAAAGGAAUAGACGGGGACCCGCACAAGUGGUGGAGCAUGUGGUUUAAUUCGAAGAUACGCGAAGAACCUUACCUAGCCUUGACAUUGAUUGAAUUCCGUAGAGAUACAGAAGUGCCCUUCGGGGAACAUGAAAACAGGUGCUGCACGGCUGUCGUCAGCUCGUGUCGUGAGAUGUUGGGUUAAGUCCCGCAACGAGCGCAACCCUCGUGUCCAGUUGCUAACGGUUCGGCCGAGCACUCUGGACAGACUGCCUGGGCAACCAGGAGGAAGGUGAGGACGACGUCAAGUCAUCAUGGCCCUUACGGCCGGGGCGACACACGUGCUACAAUGGGCAGGACAGUGAGAUGCGAUACCGCGAGGUGGAGCAAUCUAUAAACCUGCUCUCAGUUCGGAUUG
RNAcentral lists this ribosomal RNA (946 nucleotides) under uncultured Campylobacterota bacterium. RNAcentral's name for it is "bacterial SSU rRNA". It matches the Rfam family "Bacterial small subunit ribosomal RNA", at positions 335 to 1300 of the family's 1533-position model. Lineage: Bacteria; Pseudomonadati; Campylobacterota. The record is from RNAcentral.